This is a long non-coding RNA of Oncorhynchus keta (chum salmon), 673 nucleotides long. RefSeq lists it as uncharacterized. The record is from RefSeq and is a predicted model, not a curated record. NCBI's taxonomy places the organism in Eukaryota, Metazoa, Chordata, Actinopteri, Salmoniformes, Salmonidae. The transcript has 3 exons.
GAGAGAUUAGAAAGAAAGAGGGGAGUGAGAUAAAUUAGAAAGAGGGAGAUAGGAGAGAGAGAAAGAGAGAGGAGAGAGAGAGGAGAGAGAAAAAUAGAAAACGAGAGAGAGGAGAGAGAGAAAGAGAAAAAGAGAGAGGGGAGAGAGAGCGAGAGAGAGAGAGCAAGAGGAGAGAAAGAGAGAGUAUUAUUAUAGUCUGAUAUAGCUCCAGUAGCAGGCUACAGCAGGAUAGGCUGAGGCAGCAGUGAUAAGAGUGGGGUCUGCUACAGCAGGAUAGGUUGAGGCAGCAGUGAUAAGAGUGGGGUCUGCUACAGCAGGAUAGGUUGAGGCAGCAGUGAUAAGAGUGGGGUCUGCUACAGCAGGAUAGGUUGAGGCAGCAGUGAUAAGAGUGGGGUCUGCUACAGCAGGAUAGGUUGAGGCAGCAGUGACAAGAGUGGGGUCUGCUACAGCAGGAUAAAUUGAGGCAGCAGUGAUAAGAGUGGGGUCUGCUACAGCAGGAUAAAUUGAGGCAGCAGUGAUAAGAUUGGGGUCUGUUACAGCAGGAUAAAUUGAGGCAGCAGUGAUAAGAUUGGGGUCUGUUACAGCAGGAUAGGUUGAGGCAGCAGUGAUAAGAGUGGGAUCUGCUACAGCAGGAUAGGUUGCGACAGCAGUGAUAAGAGUGGGGUCUGCUACA